CCGAUCAGAGAUGCCUAGUUAUUGCCCUAAAAUUUUCUUUGCCCGACAUGAUUUUAUCAAGGAUAUUUUAUAUCCUAUAGCUAAAUAAUGCAUUAUAUUUACUAUAAAUCAAAAUAUUUAAAAAUAUUACUUUAUAGUCACUUUUAAAUUUUAUAGCAGAGUAUAAAUAUAUAUAAUUGAUCACUCAAUCCUGUCUCUUCUCCUUCAAUUCUCUUUCCCUUUCCCUCUCUCUUCAACAAGGCUGCCGUCUUCAUCGGCGACUGACCACCAUGGCUAGAUCUGUUUAGAUUUUUUGGCGACUCUUCUUCAAAAUUUCUUCUUCUCCAGCGACUUUGCUUCAGAUUUUCAAAAGCUCAAUUCAUAGCCAUGGCCAAAUUUAUUCUCCUGCUCCCUUUUCACUUCCACCAUCGGGAGUCUGCCAUUUUCAUCGUGCCUCCGACUCUUACCUUAACGGAGAGAAUAGAUCUGAAAAUUUCUAGCACGGAUGAAUUUACAUCUAGCUCUGAUAGCUCGAUGAAAAUAAUUGAUCUGAAACUUUUGGUAGAUACAAUGUGAUAAUAUAUUCUCAUAUCUAGUCGGAUUUUUGUUUGUCUUCAUUUUUAGUUUUAAUACAAUGUAUACAAUAUUUUGCUUGGCCGAAAGAAGCCAUCUUUGGUGCACAUUCUUCUGUUCUUAGCGACUAAGUCACAUAUUUUGUACAAAUGACCUUAAAUAAAUUAUAUUUAUGCAUGUAUUUAUAUAUUUUGAAGGUUAUUUUUUAUGACAGAUCUCUAUAUUUUUUGAAUUUUUAUUGUUUGAAUACAACCGAAUAUCAUUUUUUACAUAUAUCUUUUGUUGUUUGAAUACAAUUGAAUUAGAUACAGUGAAAUUGAAUAUAAUGUAAAAUAGUUAAGAAUAAAUAUAACUGAAUUGGAUAUAAUGUAUACAGCCGAAUCGAAUAGAGCAGUAUACACCUUAUUUCUUAAGUUUUGUUGUUU
Molecule: long non-coding RNA, 977 nt
Filed under: Nicotiana benthamiana
Lineage: Eukaryota; Viridiplantae; Streptophyta; Magnoliopsida; Solanales; Solanaceae
Description: long non-coding RNA (NBEN_LNC034178)
Source: RNAcentral